Molecule: ribosomal RNA, 439 nt
Filed under: uncultured bacterium
Lineage: Bacteria
Description: partial 16S ribosomal RNA
Rfam family: Bacterial small subunit ribosomal RNA
Source: RNAcentral
CUACGGGCUGCUGCAGUGAGGAAUAUUGCACAAUGGGGGAAACCCUGAUGCAGCAACGCCGCGUGGAGGAUGACGCAUUUCGGUGUGUAAACUCCUUUUAUAUGUCAAGAAAAUGACGGUAGCAUAUGAAUAAGCACCGGCUAACUCCGCGCCAGCAGCCGCGGUAAUACGGAGGGUGCAAGCGUUACUCGGAAUCACUGGGCGUAAAGGACGCGUAGGCUGGUUGGUAAGUCAGGUGUGAAAUCCUACAGCUUAACUGUAGAACUGCACUUGAAACUACCAACCUAGAGUAUGGGAGGGGGAGAUGGAAUUAGUGGUGUAGGGGUAAAAUCCGUAGAUAUCACUAGGAAUACCGAAAGCGAAGGCGAUCUCCUGGAACAUAACUGACGCUAAGGCGUGAAAGCGUGGGGAGCAAACAGGAUUAGAUACCCUCGUAGUC